CGGGGGGUGCGAGCGUUAAUCGGAAUUACUGGGCGUAAAGGGUGCGUAGGCGGUUUAAUAAGUUAUGGGUGAAAUACCUGGGCUCAACCUGGGAUUGGCUUGUGAUACUGUUAGACUUGAGUAUAGGAGAGGGCAGUGGAAUUUCCGGUGUAGCGGUGAAAUGCGUAGAUAUCGGAAGGAACACCGGUGGCGAAGGCGGCUGCCUGGCCUGAUACUGACGCUGAGGCACGAAAGCGUGGGUAGCGAACAGGAUUAGAUACCCUGGUAGUCCACGCUGUAAAUGGUGUCAACUAGCUGUUGGCCCUAUAGAAGGGGUAAGUAGCGCAGCAAACGCGAUAAGUUGACCGCCUGGGGAGUACGGUCGCAAGAUUA
This 372-nucleotide ribosomal RNA is filed under the name uncultured organism. Its description in RNAcentral is "bacterial SSU rRNA". It matches the Rfam family "Bacterial small subunit ribosomal RNA", at positions 526 to 896 of the family's 1533-position model. The record is from RNAcentral.